UUUUUUUUGGUAAAUGUAGCACAAGGGAUCAAGGGCAGAAAAGCCUUAUCUUCACAAUUGGGCAAGGACUUAUUUCCACCAGAGGAUUGGACGAAGGAGUUAUGGAAAUGACAGAGGGGGAAAUUGCCCGUCUUCUGUGUACACCCGACUUUGCUUAUGGCACUGAAGGUGCUGUAGGAUUUCCAUCAUGGGGCAUCGGUCCGAACUCAACCGUUAUCUUUGAGGUUGAGCUUGUCCGUAUUGAUGAUGAUGAUAGUGAUGACGAUGAUGAUGAUGAAUGAGCAUCUAAUUUCUCAAUAUGCCGUAUUGAUAUCUAUCUAUCUAGCUAGCUAUCUAGCUAUCUAUCUUUGGGACCUCUGAAAAGUAACGACUUUAGUUAAAUUAUUAGAUUUUAGACCUAUGUCCAACACUGGACACGGGAUUUACGAUAUUAUCAAUAUUAG
Long non-coding RNA from Erigeron canadensis, 443 nucleotides. RefSeq lists it as uncharacterized. The record is from RefSeq and is a predicted model, not a curated record. The transcript is spliced from 3 exons. NCBI's taxonomy places the organism in Eukaryota, Viridiplantae, Streptophyta, Magnoliopsida, Asterales, Asteraceae.